Molecule: ribosomal RNA, 253 nt
Filed under: uncultured bacterium
Lineage: Bacteria
Description: partial 16S ribosomal RNA
Rfam family: Bacterial small subunit ribosomal RNA
Source: RNAcentral
UACGAAGGGUGCAAGCGUUAAUCGGAAUUACUGGGCGUAAAGCGUGCGUAGGUGGUUCGUUAAGUCUGAUGUGAAAGCCCUGGGCUCAACCUGGGAAUGGCAUUGGAAACUGGCGACCUAGAGUGCGGUAGAGGGUAGUGGAAUUCCCGGUGUAGCAGUGAAAUGCGUAGAGAUCGGGAGGAACAUCCGUGGCGAAGGCGACUACCUGGACCAGCACUGACACUGAGGCACGAAAGCGUGGGGAGCAAACAGG